UGAGUUAUGUCAUGUUAUCGAUAUGUGAAUACAUAGCAUAUCAGAAGGCACACCCGGAGAACUGAAACAUCUUAGUACCCGGAGGAAGAGAAAGAAAAUUCGAUUCCCUUAGUAGCGGCGAGCGAAACGGGAAGAGCCCAAACCAACAAGCUUGCUUGUUGGGGUUGUAGGACACUCUAUACGGAGUUACAAAGGACGACAUUAGACGAAUCAUCUGGAAAGAUGAAUCAAAGAAGGUAAUAAUCCUGUAGUCGAAAAUGUUGUCUCUCUUGAGUGGAUCCUGAGUACGACGGAGCACGUGAAAUUCCGUCGGAAUCUGGGAGGACCAUCUCCUAAGGCUAAAUACUCUCUAGUGACCGAUAGUGAACCAGUACCGUGAGGGAAAGGUGAAAAGCACCCCGGAAGGGGAGUGAAAUAGAACCUGAAACCGUGUGCUUACAAGUAGUCAGAGCCCGUUAAUGGGUGAUGGCGUGCCUUUUGUAGAAUGAACCGGCGAGUUACGAUUUGAUGCAAGGUUAAGCAGUAAAUGUGGAGCCGUAGCGAAAGCGAGUCUGAAUAGGGCGUUUAGUAUUUGGUCGUAGACCCGAAACCAGGUGAUCUACCCUUGGUCAGGUUGAAGUUCAGGUAACACUGAAUGGAGGACCGAACCGACUUACGUUGAAAAGUGAGCGGAUGAACUGAGGGUAGCGGAGAAAUUCCAAUCGAACCUGGAGAUAGCUGGUUCUCUCCGAAAUAGCUUUAGGGCUAGCCUCAAGUGAUGAUUAUUGGAGGUAGAGCACUGUUUGGACGAGGGGCCCCUCUCGGGUUACCGAAUUCAGACAAACUCCGAAUGCCAAUUAAUUUAACUUGGGAGUCAGAACAUGGGUGAUAAGGUCCGUGUUCGAAAGGGAAACAGCCCAGACCACCAGCUAAGGUCCCAAAAUAUAUGUUAAGUGGAAAAGGAUGUGGCGUUGCCCAGACAACUAGGAUGUUGGCUUAGAAGCAGCCAUCAUUUAAAGAGUGCGUAAUAGCUCACUAGUCGAGUGACACUGCGCCGAAAAUGUACCGGGGCUAAACAUAUUACCGAAGCUGUGGAUUGUCCUUUGGACAAUGGUAGGAGAGCGUUCUAAGGGCGUUGAAGCAUGAUCGUAAGGACAUGUGGAGCGCUUAGAAGUGAGAAUGCCGGUGUGAGUAGCGAAAGACGGGUGAGAAUCCCGUCCACCGAUUGACUAAGGUUUCCAGAGGAAGGCUCGUCCGCUCUGGGUUAGUCGGGUCCUAAGCUGAGGCCGACAGGCGUAGGCGAUGGAUAACAGGUUGAUAUUCCUGUACCACCUAUAAUCGUUUUAAUCGAUGGGGGGACGCAGUAGGAUAGGCGAAGCGUGCGAUUGGAUUGCACGUCUAAGCAGUAAGGCUGAGUAUUAGGCAAAUCCGGUACUCGUUAAGGCUGAGCUGUGAUGGGGAGAAGACAUUGAGUCUUCGAGUCGUUGAUUUCACACUGCCGAGAAAAGCCUCUAGAUAGAAAAUAGGUGCCCGUACCGCAAACCGACACAGGUAGUCAAGAUGAGAAUUCUAAGGUGAGCGAGCGAACUCUCGUUAAGGAACUCGGCAAAAUGACCCCGUAACUUCGGGAGAAGGGGUGCUCUUUAGGGUUAACGCCCAGAAGAGCCGCAGUGAAUAGGCCCAAGCGACUGUUUAUCAAAAACACAGGUCUCUGCUAAACCGUAAGGUGAUGUAUAGGGGCUGACGCCUGCCCGGUGCUGGAAGGUUAAGAGGAGUGGUUAGCUUCUGCGAAGCUACGAAUCGAAGCCCCAGUAAACGGCGGCCGUAACUAUAACGGUCCUAAGGUAGCGAAAUUCCUUGUCGGGUAAGUUCCGACCCGCACGAAAGGCGUAACGAUUUGGGCACUGUCUCAACGAGAGACUCGGUGAAAUCAUAGUACCUGUGAAGAUGCAGGUUACCCGCGACAGGACGGAAAGACCCCGUGGAGCUUUACUGUAGCCUGAUAUUGAAAUUCGGCACAGCUUGUACAGGAUAGGUAGGAGCCUUUGAAACGUGAGCGCUAGCUUACGUGGAGGCGCUGGUGGGAUACUACCCUAGCUGUGUUGGCUUUCUAACCCGCACCACUUAUCGUGGUGGGAGACAGUGUCAGGCGGGCAGUUUGACUGGGGCGGUCGCCUCCUAAAAGGUAACGGAGGCGCUCAAAGGUUCCCUCAGAAUGGUUGGAAAUCAUUCAUAGAGUGUAAAGGCAUAAGGGAGCUUGACUGCGAGACCUACAAGUCGAGCAGGGUCGAAAGACGGACUUAGUGAUCCGGUGGUUCCGCAUGGAAGGGCCAUCGCUCAACGGAUAAAAGCUACCCCGGGGAUAACAGGCUUAUCUCCCCCAAGAGUUCACAUCGACGGGGAGGUUUGGCACCUCGAUGUCGGCUCAUCGCAUCCUGGGGCUGUAGUCGGUCCCAAGGGUUGGGCUGUUCGCCCAUUAAAGCGGUACGCGAGCUGGGUUCAGAACGUCGUGAGACAGUUCGGUCCCUAUCCGUCGUGGGCGUAGGAAAUUUGAGAGGAGCUGUCCUUAGUACGAGAGGACCGGGAUGGACAUACCUCUGGUGUACCAGUUGUCGUGCCAACGGCAUAGCUGGGUAGCUAUGUGUGGACGGGAUAAGUGCUGAAAGCAUCUAAGCAUGAAGCCCCCCUCAAGAUGAGAUUUCCCAACUUCGGUUAUAAGAUCCCUCAAAGAUGAUGAGGUUAAUAGGUUCGAGGUGGAAGCAUGGUGACAUGUGGAGCUGACGAAUACUAAUCGAUCGAAGACUUAAUCAA
This 2790-nucleotide ribosomal RNA is filed under the name Staphylococcus aureus. Its description in RNAcentral is "partial 23S ribosomal RNA". It matches the Rfam family "Bacterial large subunit ribosomal RNA". The record is from RNAcentral. Lineage: Bacteria; Bacillati; Bacillota; Bacilli; Caryophanales; Staphylococcaceae.